This 390-nucleotide long non-coding RNA is filed under the name Arachis ipaensis. RNAcentral's name for it is "long non-coding RNA (AIPA_LNC000129)". Lineage: Eukaryota; Viridiplantae; Streptophyta; Magnoliopsida; Fabales; Fabaceae. The record is from RNAcentral.
ACUUCAAUAUGCCUCGACCACCAAGUGAAACAAGGGGGGGAGCACCUGCAAAAAGCACUCCGACGCUCAAGUCAGCUAAAGAGAAUUAUUUGAAGAGUUAUUUUAGCUUAGAACGAUGAUCUACCUUUUCAAUUUCAGCUGUUUCCUUUAUAACUCGGAGAUGAUGGCCGUUUAUUGACCGUUUCUGUGUAACCGAUCAUAGUGGUUUAAUGCCAUAAAGUCGGCAAAGUUAAUGUGCCGAUUAAAAAGGGAUUCGCCGAGCUAUAAUUCGUAACCGACGUAUAACGGUUGUAUCACAGCCCCCAAGCUUAGCCUGUGUUUUAAAUGAGGCAGGUUGAGCUUUUGAAAUUAAAUGGCCGAAUUAUAGCUCGGCGCAGGGAUGGAGCCCCC